UUGACCUCGGAUCAGGUAGGACUACCCGCUGAACUUAAGCAUAUCAAUAAGCGGAGGAAAAGAAACCAACAGGGAUUGCCCCAGUAACGGCGAGUGAAGCGGCAACAGCUCAGAUUUGGAAUCUGGCCCCCAGGGCCCGAGUUGUAAUCUGGAGAGGAUGCUUCUGGCGCGGCGCCUUCCGAGUUCCCUGGAACGGGACGCCGGAGAGGGUGAGAGCCCCGUACGGUUGGACGCCUAGCCUUUGUGAAGCUCCUUCGACGAGUCGAGUAGUUUGGGAAUGCUGCUCAAAAUGGGAGGUAAAUUUCUUCUAAAGCUAAAUACCGGCCAGAGACCGAUAGCGCACAAGUAGAGUGAUCGAAAGAUGAAAAGCACUUUGAAAAGAGGG
Molecule: ribosomal RNA, 385 nt
Filed under: Grosmannia aurea
Lineage: Eukaryota; Fungi; Ascomycota; Sordariomycetes; Ophiostomatales; Ophiostomataceae
Also listed under: 25 other names
Description: eukaryotic LSU rRNA
Rfam family: Eukaryotic large subunit ribosomal RNA
Source: RNAcentral